UAAGAUGUACCAACGUGAAAAACAGAAUUGAAAUGGAGAUACACAGGCAGUGCGGCCCACGGAGAACUGAGUGAAGGAGACGGGUGAGAGGAAGUAUUUCCCAGAAUUCCAAGGAAGAAAAGCACAGACAAGCCACCGCAUCCUUCUGCCUCUUUUUAAAACCUCUCACCAUAGAGGAAGAAACGCAGUGUGAGGAUCAAGGGGGAAAGAAAGUGAAAAUGUCCUGCGACUUUCCCCAGGAGACCAAUGUUCCCCACAGAAACAGCAAGUCAAAAUAAACCCUCUCUUCGAUGUUUA
This 297-nucleotide long non-coding RNA is filed under the name Cavia porcellus (domestic guinea pig). RNAcentral's name for it is "lncRNA (ENSCPOG00000035535.1)". The record is from RNAcentral. Lineage: Eukaryota; Metazoa; Chordata; Mammalia; Rodentia; Caviidae.